Molecule: unclassified non-coding RNA, 349 nt
Filed under: Hevea brasiliensis (rubber tree)
Lineage: Eukaryota; Viridiplantae; Streptophyta; Magnoliopsida; Malpighiales; Euphorbiaceae
Source: RNAcentral
AGUAAUGUUCCCCAACCUCCGACUGAAGACAACAAGAACUCAAAAAUCAAAACUGGCAAGGAUCCCGAACUACCUUCAGUCAAGGUAGAACAAACACUAGACGCUGCAGCUGAGCUAGCGAAGCUGGAAUCAGAAUUUGGGAAAGUCGGUCAUGACUACUCAGCAGAAGACAUUGGUGAAUGGGAGUUCGACGAGCUCGAAAGGGAACUGAAGUCAGGUGACUCAAAGAACUAGCUAUCAUAUUAUGUACUCAUGAAUGAACCAACCUAAUUUACUAUGAAGAAAGGUCAUAGGUUUGCUUUUGGCAUACCCCCGAAACUGCAUGAUUUGAUCAUAAUCUUUCCUUUGU